UUGGGGGCACCGAGGAUAUCAUAGAGCUAAUGUGCAGCUCAUUAAUAAAUAAAUGUUGAAGUUCCUGGCGAAAAAUCACUAAGCACUUGGAAAUUUAAUGUGUGACAGAAGAAUGAUUAAGAGUAAAAUGUGUUAAUGGAGAUCCUUUUUUUUGGUUUAUUAGAUGUAAUGGAUAUUCCUUUUUUUGGAGGGAUGAUAGUUUUUUUCCAUUUUCCUGACCUGGAGAUGUACUUGUAUGAAAAAUGUACCUAUUGUUUUGGGUCUUUCCUUGAGCAUGUUAUGUGUUUUUCCUUCUUUCUUAGAAGUUGAAAAUCCGUAGUGGUCUUCUAUUUAUAUGAACACAUGCUUUGUGUUAAUGUAUUUAACUGUUUAUUUAUGCAGUACCACUUGCUAAUGAAUAUUACGGUUUUAAUGGGAUGAUGUCUUGUAACCAUAUUUUAUGGUGGAACUAAAGAACCUAGCUUUGUUGCAUAUAAUCUGUACAUUUGUGGAUAUUAAAGGGCAAGGGCUCAAAUUAACUUCAUAAACAAGGAAGCAAACUACCUGAUUUAACAUGCAUUUGAAUUUGGUUUCUGAUACUGCUGCAUUAACAUUCCUUGUGCAGGAUGAAACAAAUAGCCCACAAGACGGUUCAUGAUAGCAGUUAAUGGACAAUAUGGUUGAAAAAUAGGCUGUAUUACAGAGUAAAUAGCAUUUUUUGGUGAAUAGAGUUGUAACAAACAUAUUACAGGGUUUCGAGGUUCCUUCAGUUUUUUCUUUCAAUGGCUUCUAGCUCUCAUAGAGGCGGUGAUUUCUACGGUGCUGCUUCCUACAGAUCCAGAGAUGGAUUGAGUACGAGGCAAGUAGGUGGUUCAGAUGAGAUACAGGUGCGGAUUGAUCCGAUGCACGG
Molecule: non-coding RNA, 889 nt
Organism: Nicotiana tabacum (common tobacco)
Lineage: Eukaryota; Viridiplantae; Streptophyta; Magnoliopsida; Solanales; Solanaceae
Source: RefSeq, a predicted model, not a curated record